RNAcentral lists this ribosomal RNA (497 nucleotides) under uncultured bacterium. RNAcentral's name for it is "partial 16S ribosomal RNA". It matches the Rfam family "Bacterial small subunit ribosomal RNA", at positions 28 to 507 of the family's 1533-position model. The record is from RNAcentral.
GAUGAACGCUGGCGGCGUGCCUAAUACAUGCAAGUCGAGCGAACAGACGAGGAGCUUGCUCCUCUGACGUUAGCGGCGGGCGGGUGAGUAACACGUGGAUAACCUCCCUAUAAGACUGGGAUAACUUCGGGAAACCGGAGCUAAUACCGGAUAAUAUAUUGCACCGCAUGGUUCAAUAGUGAAAGACGGUUUUGCUGUCACUUAUAGAUGGAUCCGCGCCGGAUUGGCUAGUUGGUAAGGUAACGGCUUACCAAGGCAACGAUGCGUAGCCGACCUGAGAGGGUGAUCGGCCACACUGGAACUGAGACACGGUCCAGACUCCUACGGGAGGCAGCAGUAGGGAAUCUUCCGCAAUGGGCGAAAGCCUGACGGAGCAACGCCGCGUGAGUGAUGAAGGUCUUCGGAUCGUAAAACUCUGUUAUUAGUGAAGAACAAAUGUGUAAGUAACUAUGCACGUCUUGACGGUACCUAAUCAGAAAGCCACGGCUAACUACGUG